This 108-nucleotide small nucleolar RNA is filed under the name Oryza longistaminata (longstamen rice). RNAcentral describes it as "snoRNA snoR71". It matches the Rfam family "Plant small nucleolar RNA R71". Rfam says of the family: R71 is a member of the C/D box family of snoRNAs containing the C (UGAUGA) and D (CUGA) box motifs. Multiple nearly identical copies of this snoRNA have been identified in Arabidopsis, and it is thought to function as a 2'-O-ribose methylation guide for 18S ribosomal RNA. The record is from RNAcentral. Lineage: Eukaryota; Viridiplantae; Streptophyta; Magnoliopsida; Poales; Poaceae.
CUCCCAUGAUGAGGACAGGCGGCCACGUAUUCCUGAAAUCGUUCCCAUGCUUCAGGAAUGGACUCAUCCCUUGUCUACUGGAAACUUGAAAUUCUCCCACAAAGGGCG